CCAAUAGCGUAUAUUAAAGUUGUUGUGGUUAAAAAGCUCGUAGUUGAACCUUGGGCCUGGCUGGCCGGUCCGCCUCACCGCGUGUACUGGUCCGGCCGGGCCUUUCCCUCUGUGGAACCUCAUGCCCUUCACUGGGUGUGACGGGGAAGCAGGACUUUUACUGUGAAAAAAUUAGAGUGCUCCAAGCAGGCCUAUGCUCGAAUACAUUAGCAUGGAAUACUAAAAUAGGACGUGCGGUUCUAUUUUAUUGGUUUCUAGGACCGCCGUAAUGAUUAAUAGGGACAGUCGGGGGCAUCAGUAUUCAAUUGUCAGAGGUGAAAUUCUUGGAUUUAUUGAAGACUAACUACUGCGAAAGCAUUUGCCAAGGAUGUUUUCAUUAAUCAAGAACGAAAGUUAGGGGAUCGAAGACGAUCAGAUACCGUCGUAGUCUUAACCAUAAACUAUGCCGACUAGGGAUCGGAUGAUGUUAAUUUUUUAAUGACUCAUUCGGCGCCUUACG
This 499-nucleotide unclassified non-coding RNA is filed under the name uncultured Paraglomus. RNAcentral describes it as "SSU rRNA". It matches the Rfam family "Eukaryotic small subunit ribosomal RNA", at positions 591 to 1092 of the family's 1831-position model. The record is from RNAcentral. Lineage: Eukaryota; Fungi; Glomeromycota; Glomeromycetes; Paraglomerales; Paraglomeraceae.